GUACACUCCUGCGGGAGGCAGCAGUGGGGAAUAUUGCACAAUGGGCGCAAGCCUGAUGCAGCCAUGCCGCGUGUGUGAAGAAGGCCUUCGGGUUGUAAAGCACUUUCAGCGGGGAGGAAGGCAAUGCGGUUAAUAACCGUGUUGAUUGACGUUACCCGCAGAAGAAGCACCGGCUAACUCCGUGCCAGCAGCCGCGGUAAUACGGAGGGUGCAAGCGUUAAUCGGAAUUACUGGGCGUAAAGCGCACGCAGGCGGUCUGUCAAGUCGGAUGUGAAAUCCCCGGGCUCAACCUGGGAACUGCAUUCGAAACUGGCAGGCUUGAGUCUUGUAGAGGGGGGUAGAAUUCCAGGUGUAGCGGUGAAAUGCGUAGAGAUCUGGAGGAAUACCGGUGGCGAAGGCGGCCCCCUGGACAAAGACUGACGCUCAGGUGCGAAAGCGUGGGGAGCAAACAGGAUUAGAUACCCCAGUAGGCCCAUGAU
This 479-nucleotide ribosomal RNA is filed under the name uncultured organism. RNAcentral describes it as "partial 16S ribosomal RNA". It matches the Rfam family "Bacterial small subunit ribosomal RNA", at positions 331 to 801 of the family's 1533-position model. The record is from RNAcentral.